Cydia pomonella (codling moth) is the source of this 2480-nucleotide RNA transcript. RefSeq lists it as uncharacterized. The record is from RefSeq and is a predicted model, not a curated record. The transcript has 3 exons. NCBI's taxonomy places the organism in Eukaryota, Metazoa, Arthropoda, Insecta, Lepidoptera, Tortricidae.
ACAUGAAGCCUUAAUUCAGCUUUUGCUCAUCGAAACGUCUCUUUCUCAGCUCUUGUCAUAUAUAUACUUUCAUAUGUGUGGGUAGAUGAAUAAAGAUCAGUCUUACAAACAGCUUACGUGUACGUGUGUUACUUAUUACUCCGUCACAAUGCAUAUUCUACAUGGCGCAGUCAGUAGGAUAUAUUAGUUAAUUCAGCUUUUGCUCAUUGAAACCCCCUCUUUCUCAGCUCUUGUCAUAUAUAUACUUCCAUAUGUGUGGGUAGAUGAAUAAAGAUCAGUCUUACAACCGGCUUACGUGUGCUACUUAUUCCUCCGUCACAAUGCAUAUUCUACAUGGCGCAGUCGGUAGGAUAUACUAGGUAAUUCAGUUUUUGCUCAUCGAAACCUCUCUUUCUCAACUUUGAUACUCUGACCGUUUAUAGUAGUCUGACAGUCUGACCUAUGCAGAGUUCAAUUCUCGGCCCUGCCUCUCGCUACUGCAAUUUUAAAACAUUAAUAAUUUUAUUUUUAUUAUCGUCGAACAUUAUCGUGUUAAGGGGUGUACCGAUAAAAAACUGUCAAAUGAAAUGUUCAAAUGAAAAAAACUGUUGCGGUUGAGAACAAUCUAAGGGUUUUAGAAUAACUACAAUAAAAAGCGACUUUUAAUUUAGAUAAUUGUCAGUUUUUUUAUUUAUAAUUUUUCUGUAGGAAAGAUAGGCAGCUUCUUCCUAGCGCAUUCAGUGGCAGCCUUUUACGGACCCGUUUUUCAUAUUUGCCUGCAUCAGCUCAUCAUCUGCUAGAAUUGUUAAUGUUUUUUGGCUGGUUCAUUCUUCUCUUUUAAUACACUUUUGAUUUGAGCCCAAUAAUAGUUGAGAGAACGGCGCUGCAUGACGUUUGGAGCUCUUACUUUAUUCUAUGUCAACUGCCAAAUGCGAUUUUUGUACGAAGGAAAUUGUAUGAUUUUCGACUUGGCCUAGAAUUAAGUAACACACAUUUUCUGUAGCUUUGGCUAUUCUAUCCUUCGUACGAAGAACUGAACUGACUUUAUAAACGAUUUGUGAUACUUCUUACAGGAGCUUACCCAAUAAAGUUUUUCCCCAAAUUUCUGAUCGAUAUAAGUAGUGUGGCGAAAUUACGCACGCAUUUUCUGGACGUGAACUUAGUGCUAGGGGCAAACACAAGCCUAACCGAUACUCUGAACUUAUUCGACGUAUUAAGCAAGACUAAUGAUGACUUCUGGUACUUGGAAGUUUUGAAGAAACAUCUGGAAGUCGUUGCUCAUAUACCCGUCCGAAAUGUAAGUAUUCUGCCAUCAGCAACAUAGAUUUUCUUUAUCUUCCUCGCGUUGUCCCGGCAUUUUUUGCAGUUAGUAAGUACAAGGAUUGAUAAAGUAUGUACAUUAUUGUAUUCUCGUUAUUUUCAGAUUGGCACUUUAGCUGGGAAUCUUAUACUGAAACAUGAGCAUCCCGAUUUUCAGUCAGAUAUUUUCCUGCUCUUCUCUUGUGUUGGCGCCAUUAUAACGCUAGUGGACCGUACAAUGCAGCAGAAAGAAAUGAGUCUUCCAGAAUUUCUGACCACAAACGUAGUGGGCAAGGUCAUGACAACAAUUAAAUUGCCACCUUUGUCCAGAAACCACAGGAUCGUUACAUACAAGAUAAGACCAAAAGCCCAAAACGCACAUGCUGAAGUCAACGGUGCUUUCCUCUUCAGAUUCGACCCCAAAACCCACAAAAUUACCAAGGCUUCCAUCGUCUUCGGGGGUAUAAACCCUUCCUUUACCCACGCGUAUGAUACAGAGCAGUUCUUGAUCGGACGGGAUCUUUUCACGAAUGAGACAUUGCAGGGAGCCCUGCAUUGCUUGGAAAAGGAGGUGGAUCCGGACUUUAAUCCACCUGAGCCAAGUCCGCAUUAUAGGAAGAAAGUAGCUCUAGCUUUAUUUUACAAGGUAACUUUUGGUCCCAACUAAAUAAACUAUAUAGUACCUAAACACCCCUAUAAUGGAACAGGCACCGGUAAUGGGAUGGUAUAGACAAAUCCUGUAAAACAAGUAUUUACCAUCAGUUUUUAAUCGCUGGCAACAUUUUACCAUAAACAAGAGCCAAAGGGCUGCUUAAGUUCAAUUUUUCGUGGAUCUUUGUUAGUUUGAAAACCGCCAUAUAUCGCAUGACUAGAGCAAGAAACCAUAGUUUUAAUUGGUUAAUAAAAUGGAAACUAAUUGCAGUAGCUUUCAUUAAAUACAUGGAAAACAUAAAGGACGAAUUGGACAUAUAAAUUUAAAGCACAAAGCGGUAGAAAUUUUACAGACGUCGGUGAAAUAUUAAAAAUACUCCAAAUUUCUCUGAAAUAUCCCAUGAUUGGUGCCGUUAACAUACGUGUUGUCAGCACAAAUCGAAUAUUUUAUUUUAUUAUAUUAUAACCAACAGCUUUAAAUUUACAAUUAUUAAAGAAGAGACGUUUUCCAGACAGAUAUUCGUACAUUGACCCGUCUGUUGCUAUCUCUA